Molecule: ribosomal RNA, 253 nt
Filed under: uncultured bacterium
Lineage: Bacteria
Description: partial 16S ribosomal RNA
Rfam family: Bacterial small subunit ribosomal RNA
Source: RNAcentral
UACGGAGGGGGCUAGCGUUGCUCGGAAUCACUGGGCGUAAAGGGUGCGUAGGCGGGUCUUUAAGUCAGGGGUGAAAUCCUGGAGCUCAACUCCAGAACUGCCUUUGAUACUGAAGAUCUUGAGUUCGGGAGAGGGAUGCGGAAUUCCAGGUGUAGCGGUGAAAUGCGUAGAUAUCUGGAGGAACACCGGUGGCGAAGGCGGCAUCCUGGACCGAUAUUGACGCUGAUGCGCGAAAGCCAGGGGAGCAAACGGG